CGCGGCCUAUCAGCUUGUUGGUGAGGUAAUGGCUCACCAAGGCUUCGACGGGUAGCCGGCCUGAGAGGGCGACCGGCCACACUGGGACUGAGAUACGGCCCAGACUCCUACGGGAGGCAGCAGUGGGGAAUAUUGCACAAUGGGCGCAAGCCUGAUGCAGCAACGCCGCGUGCGGGAUGACGGCCUUCGGGUUGUAAACCGCUUUCAGUAGGGACGAAGCUAACGUGACGGUACCUACAGAAGAAGGACCGGCUAACUACGUGCCAGCAGCCGCGGUGAUACGUAGGGUCCGAGCGUUGUCCGGAAUUAUUGGGCGUAAAGGGCUUGUAGGCGGUCCGUCGCGUCAGGAGUGAAAACUCGGGGCUUAACCCCGAGCCUGCUUUUGAUACGGGCGGACUAGAGGGAUGCAGGGAAGAACGGAAUUCCCGGUGGAGCGGUGGAAUGCGCAGAUAUCAGGAGGAACACCGGUGGCGAAGGCGGUUCUCUGGGCAUCACCUGACGCUGAGAAGCGAAAGCGUGGGGAGCAAACAGGCUUAGAUACCCUGGUAGUCCACGCCGUAAACGGUGGGCACUAGGUGUGGGGGACAUUCCACGUUCUCCGUGCCGAAGCUAACGCAUUAAGUGCCCCGCCUGGGGAGUACGG
RNAcentral lists this ribosomal RNA (643 nucleotides) under uncultured bacterium. RNAcentral's name for it is "bacterial SSU rRNA". It matches the Rfam family "Bacterial small subunit ribosomal RNA", at positions 232 to 885 of the family's 1533-position model. The record is from RNAcentral.